CCAGGCCUUGACAUGCAGAGAACUUUCCAGAGAUGGAUUGGUUGCCUUUCGGGAACGUCUGACACAGGUGCUGCAUGGCUGUCGUCAGCUCGUGUCGCGAGAUGUUGGGUUAAGUCCGUAACGAGCGCAACCCUUGUCCUUAGUUUACCAGCACGUUAUGGUGGGCACUCUAAGGAGACUGCCGGUGACAAACCGGAGGAAGUGGGGAUGACGUCAAGUCAUCAUGGCCCUUACGGCCUGGGCUACACACGUGCUACAAUGGUCGGUACAAAGGGUUGCCAAGCCGCGAGGUGGAGCUAAUCCCAUAAAACCGAUCGUAGUCCGGAUCGCAGUCUGCAACUCGACUGCGUGAAGUCGGAAUCGCUAGUAAUCGUGAAUCAGAAUGUCACGGUGAAUACGUUCCCGGGCCUU
This 411-nucleotide ribosomal RNA is filed under the name uncultured Pseudomonas sp. RNAcentral's name for it is "bacterial SSU rRNA". It matches the Rfam family "Bacterial small subunit ribosomal RNA", at positions 974 to 1382 of the family's 1533-position model. Lineage: Bacteria; Pseudomonadati; Pseudomonadota; Gammaproteobacteria; Pseudomonadales; Pseudomonadaceae. The record is from RNAcentral.